ACAGCCAUUACUGACCAGCAUGCAUUCUCUUGCUCUCAGCCUCUCUUUGCUUAAAUGCUUCUUGGACUAGAGAGUUAGCUGGACUUCCCUUUCAGUCAAAAUCUAUUGAGAACUUCGAAAAGUCCUGGGUGAGACAGAGUAGGGAGUAUUUCCCUCUAACAUCUUCCCUCUUUAUCAACUGUCCCAACUUGCCUUAUACCCUGGCCUUCCCAAUUCCUGGGCCUAGGAAGGAUGGCUGAUGGGCCUAUGUGAGGUGGCUGUCUGCAAGCCAGGAAGUGAGCCUUCAUCAGACAACAGAUCUACUGGCACCUUGAUCUUGGACUUCUGGCCUCCAGAACUGUGAUAAAUACAUGUUGGUUGUUUAUGGCAAUUUGGUACAGCAGUUCAAACUGCAUAGCAAGUACCAUGUGCCAGGCAAGGAUCUAAAUGCUUUAAUUCAGUUCCUCCUUGCAACCAUCUCCAUUUUACAGUUGAGGAAGCCAAAGCACAGAAAGGCUAAGUCACUUCUGAAAGGUCACGCAGCAUGUAGGAGUGGAGCGAGGGUUAGAAUACAGAUCCUGUUCCAGAGUCUGUACUCUUACUCUGUUAAAUUUAUAUGAUUGAUUCAUUCACAUGGAACUCAUGGUCAGCAGCACUGUAAUUCAUGCCACGGCAGGUACAUCACGGUCUCCUUGUGUUUGAGAAUGCUAGACAGAGCUUCAGUGCUAGCUGGGGGGCCAUUUUAAACAGUGAAGUCACCACCAGAAAAAGCACAAAAACGUGAAAAACAUGGCACUAGAUAGAACUCUCAGAAGACACUUGUGAACAAUGUGAGGGCUAAAACACAAAGGCAAACUCGCCUUAUUCCACCUUGGCUGGGAAAAUGUGCAUUGAAUGAUUCAAGAUUUUCACUGCUCUGCACAUGUUCAUGAGUGACCUUGAAAACACGUGAAAACACGUGAGUACUGAUUUUUGGGUUACAAAUACAUUUUUUUCUUUUUUGAGACGGAGUUUCACUCUUGUUGCCCAGGCUGGAGUGCAAUGAUGUGAUCUCGGCCAGGCUGUUCUCGAACUCCUGACCUCAGGUGAUCCACACGCCUCAGCCUCCCAAAAUGCU
This 1096-nucleotide long non-coding RNA is filed under the name Homo sapiens (human). RNAcentral's name for it is "non-protein coding lnc-MYCN-7:1". Lineage: Eukaryota; Metazoa; Chordata; Mammalia; Primates; Hominidae. The record is from RNAcentral.